RNAcentral lists this ribosomal RNA (492 nucleotides) under uncultured bacterium. RNAcentral's name for it is "partial 16S ribosomal RNA". It matches the Rfam family "Bacterial small subunit ribosomal RNA", at positions 29 to 507 of the family's 1533-position model. The record is from RNAcentral.
AGUGAACGCUGGCGGUAGGCCUAACACAUGCAAGUCGAACGGCAGCACAGUAAGAGCUUGCUCUUACGGGUGGCGAGUGGCGGACGGGUGAGGAAUACAUCGGAAUCUACUUUUUCGUGGGGGAUAACGUAGGGAAACUUACGCUAAUACCGCAUACGACCUACGGGUGAAAGCAGGGGAUCUUCGGACCUUGCGCGAUUGAAUGAGCCGAUGUCGGAUUAGCUAGUUGGCGGGGUAAAGGCCCACCAAGGCGACGAUCCGUAGCUGGUCUGAGAGGAUGAUCGGCCACACUGGAACUGAGACACGGUCCAGACUCCUACGGGAGGCAGCAGUGGGGAAUAUUGGACAAUGGGCGCAAGCCUGAUCCAGCCAUACCGCGUGGGUGAAGAAGGCCUUCGGGUUGUAAAGCCCUUUUGUUGGGAAAGAAAUCCAGCCGGCUAAUACCUGGUUGGGAUGACGGUACCCAAAGAAUAAGCACCGGCUAACUUCGUG